UACGUAGGUGGCGAGCGUUGUCCGGAUUUACUGGGCGUAAAGAGUGCGCAGGCGGUCGUAUAAGUCGCGUGUGAAAGCCCCCGGCUCAACUGGGGAGGGUCACGCGAUACUGUUCGACUCGAAGGCAGGAGAGGGAAGUGGAAUUCCCGGUGUAGUGGUGAAAUGCGUAGAUAUCGGGAGGAACACCAGUGGCGAAGGCGACUUCCUGGCCUGUUCUUGACGCUGAGGCGCGAAAGCUAGGGUAGCAAACGGG
Molecule: ribosomal RNA, 253 nt
Filed under: uncultured bacterium
Lineage: Bacteria
Description: partial 16S ribosomal RNA
Rfam family: Bacterial small subunit ribosomal RNA
Source: RNAcentral